CAGAGUUGAUCCUGGCUCAGGAUGAACGCUAGCUACAGGCUUAACACAUGCAAGUCGAGGGGCAGCAUGUUGGUUGCUUGCAACCAACGAUGGCGACCGGCGCACGGGUGAGUAACGCGUAUCCAACCUACCCUUGUCCAUCGGAUAACCCGUCGAAAGGCGGCCUAACACGAUAUGCGGUUCACAGCAGGCAUCUAACGUGAACGAAAUGUGAAGGAGAAGGAUGGGGAUGCGUCUGAUUAGCUUGUUGGCGGGGUAACGGCCACCAAGGCUACGAUCAGUAGGGGUUCUGAGAGGAAGGUCCCCCANAUUGGAACUGAGACACGGUCCAAACUCCUACGGGAGGCA
This 348-nucleotide ribosomal RNA is filed under the name uncultured bacterium. RNAcentral describes it as "bacterial SSU rRNA". It matches the Rfam family "Bacterial small subunit ribosomal RNA", at positions 8 to 350 of the family's 1533-position model. The record is from RNAcentral.